RNAcentral lists this ribosomal RNA (253 nucleotides) under uncultured bacterium. Its description in RNAcentral is "partial 16S ribosomal RNA". It matches the Rfam family "Bacterial small subunit ribosomal RNA", at positions 524 to 776 of the family's 1533-position model. The record is from RNAcentral.
UACGUAGGGGGCUAGCGUUGUCCGGAAUCAUUGGGCGUAAAGCGCGCGUAGGCGGCCAGAUAAGUCCGGUGUGAAAGCCACAGGCUCAACCUGUGAAUGCCGCUGGAAACUGUCUGGCUAGAGUCCGGGAGGGGCGAGUGGAAUUCCUGGUGUAGCGGUGAAAUGCGCAGAUAUCAGGAGGAACACCAAUGGCGAAGGCAGCUCGCUGGGACGUGACUGACGCUGAGACGCGAAAGCGUGGGGAGCAAACAGG